Molecule: ribosomal RNA, 259 nt
Filed under: uncultured bacterium
Lineage: Bacteria
Description: partial 16S ribosomal RNA
Rfam family: Bacterial small subunit ribosomal RNA
Source: RNAcentral
AUUGAACGCUGGCGGCAUGCCUUACACAUGCAAGUCGAACGGCAGCACGGGAGCAAUCCUGGUGGCGAGUGGCGAACGGGUGAGUAAUAUAUCGGAACGUGCCCAGUCGUGGGGAUAACGUAGCGAAAGCUACGCUAAUACCGCAUACGAUCUAUGGAUGAAAGCGGGGGAUCGCAAGACCUCGCGCGAUUGGAGCGGCCGAUAUCAGAUUAGGUAGUUGGUGAGGUAAAGGCUCACCAAGCCGACGAUCUGUAGCCGU